This 561-nucleotide ribosomal RNA is filed under the name Alternaria sp. G2B. RNAcentral's name for it is "eukaryotic LSU rRNA". The stretch from base 223 to 376 matches the Rfam family "5.8S ribosomal RNA". Lineage: Eukaryota; Fungi; Ascomycota; Dothideomycetes; Pleosporales; Pleosporaceae. The record is from RNAcentral.
UGGAAGUAAAAAAGUCGUAACAAGGUCUCCGUAGGUGAACCUGCGGAGGGAUCAUUACACAAAUAUGAAGGCGGGCUGGAACCUCUCGGGGUUACAGCCUUGCUGAAUUAUUCACCCUUGUCUUUUGCGUACUUCUUGUUUCCUUGGUGGGUUCGCCCACCACUAGGACAAACAUAAACCUUUUGUAAUUGCAAUCAGCGUCAGUAACAAAUUAAUAAUUACAACUUUCAACAACGGAUCUCUUGGUUCUGGCAUCGAUGAAGAACGCAGCGAAAUGCGAUAAGUAGUGUGAAUUGCAGAAUUCAGUGAAUCAUCGAAUCUUUGAACGCACAUUGCGCCCUUUGGUAUUCCAAAGGGCAUGCCUGUUCGAGCGUCAUUUGUACCCUCAAGCUUUGCUUGGUGUUGGGCGUCUUGUCUCUAGCUUUGCUGGAGACUCGCCUUAAAGUAAUUGGCAGCCGGCCUACUGGUUUCGGAGCGCAGCACAAGUCGCACUCUCUAUCAGCAAAGGUCUAGCAUCCAUUAAGCCUUUUUUUCAACUUUGACCUCGGAUCAGGAAGGAAC